UGACUGGGCGUCCAUCGGUGUCGCCGAGGC
Molecule: small RNA, 30 nt
Filed under: Bombyx mori (domestic silkworm)
Lineage: Eukaryota; Metazoa; Arthropoda; Insecta; Lepidoptera; Bombycidae
Description: ovarian small RNA-31995
Source: RNAcentral